This 1234-nucleotide ribosomal RNA is filed under the name metagenome. Its description in RNAcentral is "bacterial LSU rRNA". It matches the Rfam family "Bacterial large subunit ribosomal RNA", at positions 1564 to 2808 of the family's 2925-position model. The record is from RNAcentral.
UGAAUACGAGACGCUAAGGCGUCGAAGUAGUGUAUGUCAUACUUCCAAGAAAAGCUUGCACUGUCAUAGAUAAAAAACGCCUGUACCAUAACCGACACAGGUGGGUAGGUAGAGUAUACUAAGGGGCGCGAGAUAACUCUCUCUAAGGAACUCGGCAAAAUAACUCCGUAACUUCGGGAGAAGGAGUGCCUUAUUCGUAAGGUUGCAAUAACAAGAUCCAAGCAACUGUUUAUCAAAAACACAGGUCUCCGCUAAGUCGUAAGACGAUGUAUGGGGGCUGACGCCUGCCCAGUGCCAGAAGGUUAAAGAAGUUGGUUAGCAAUUGCGAAGCUGAUAACUGAAGCCCUGGUGAACGGCGGCCGUAACGAUAACGGUCCUAAGGUAGCGAAAUUCCUUGUCGGGUAAGUUCCGACCCGCACGAAAGGCGUAAUGAUUUGGAUACUGUCUCGGAGAGGGGCUCGGUGAAAUAGACUUGUCUGUGAAGAUGCGGACUACCUGCACCAGGACAGAAAGACCCUAUGAAGCUUUACUGUAACUUGAAAUUGAAAUUGGACUUUAUUCGCGCAGUAUAGGUGGGAGGCGUUGAUUAUAAUCUUGUGGGAUUAUUGGAGCCAUCAGUGAGAUACCACUCUUGUAAUGUUAGAUUUCUAACUUUGAAUCAUUAUCUGGUCAAAGAACAGUUUCAGGCGGGCAGUUUGACUGGGGCGGUCGCCUCCUAAACGGUAACGGAGGCGUACAAAGGUUUCCUCUGAACGGUUAGAAAUCGUAUCUAGAGUGUAAAGGCAUAAGGAAGCUUGACUGUGAGACCUACAAGUCGAGCAGGGACGAAAGUCGGUCUUAGUGAUCUGACGGUACUGAGUGGGAAGGCCGUCACUCAACGGAUAAAAGUUACUCUAGGAUAACAGGCUGAUCUCCCCCAAGAGUUCACAUCGACGGGGAGGUUUGGCACCUCGAUGUCGGCUCAUCGCAUCCUGGGGCGGUAGUACGUCCCAAGGGUUGGGCUGUUCGCCCAUGAAAGCGGUACGCGAGCUGGGUUCAGAACGUCGUGAGACAGUUCGGUCCAUAUCCGGUGUAGGCGUUAGAAUAUUGAGAGGAGCCUUCUUUAGUACGAGAGGACCGAGAAGGACAUACCUCUGGUGUACCAGUUAUCGUGCCAACGGUAAACGCUGGGUAGCUAUGUAUGGAGUGGAUAACCGCUGAAAGCAUCUAAGUGGGAAGCCCCCCUCAAGAUAAG